UACAAGUGACGCGACGCGGUGGGACACAAAAUUGUAUAUAAUCGUGAAAAAUUGUGAAAAUUUAGAAUCAAAAGUGCAAAGUGUGGUAAUUGAGGUUAUGUCGUCCAUGGAAGAUGGGCAAAUUCUUCAGGCUUCUCUCAAAUUUAAAGGUGAUUCAGAGCUCCGAGACUUCCGGGAUUAUUUCGGGAAUGAAGUGGACCUUAUCAAGUUGCAGUCAGAUGUUACAGAACCACCCUUGAAUACUCUAGUAAGGGAUCCGGACGAUCUUAAUGAUGCCGAAAGUGGAAGUGUAGACGGAGGAAUUUUUGUCCCUGAACUUAACUUUUCUAUCCUUCUUGAAGUUGGUCCAGAGCCUCCAAGUGAAUCUGGGAGUGUGUUGGAACACAUCCAGUAUCCAGUCGCUGCCAGAUGAUUCUGAAAACAAUUCUAAUACGAUAAAAAGGGAUAAAGAAGAGGCAGAAAACGAAGAAGUCUGGGACGAUGUCAAAUUACCAGUUCGGAAGAAAAGAGCAAAGCCUGAUUCAUGGGCACAGAAUUUGAGAAAAGCGUCAAGAGAUAAAGGUGAGGAAUACGUAAACAGAAAUGGUAUCAUUAUCCCUCAAAGACA
This is a long non-coding RNA of Phlebotomus papatasi, 607 nucleotides long. RefSeq lists it as uncharacterized. The transcript is spliced from 3 exons. The record is from RefSeq and is a predicted model, not a curated record. NCBI's taxonomy places the organism in Eukaryota, Metazoa, Arthropoda, Insecta, Diptera, Psychodidae.